RNAcentral lists this ribosomal RNA (497 nucleotides) under uncultured bacterium. RNAcentral describes it as "partial 16S ribosomal RNA". It matches the Rfam family "Bacterial small subunit ribosomal RNA", at positions 28 to 507 of the family's 1533-position model. The record is from RNAcentral.
GAUGAACGCUGGCGGCGUGCCUAAUACAUGCAAGUCGAGCGAACAGGCGAGGAGCUUGCUCCUCUGACGUUAGCGGCGGACGGGUGAGUAACACGUGGAUAACCUACCUAUAAGACUGGGAUAACUUCGGGAAACCGGAGCUAAUACCGGAUAAUAUAUUGAACCGCAUGGUUCAAUAGUGAAAGACGGUUUUGCUGUCACUUAUAGAUGGAUCCGCGCCGCAUUAGCUAGUUGGUAAGGUAACGGCUUACCAAGGCAACGAUGCGUAGCCGACCUGAGAGGGUGAUCGGCCACACUGGAACUGAGACACGGUCCAGACUCCUACGGGAGGCAGCAGUAGGGAAUCUUCCGCAAAGGGCGAAAGCCUGACGGAGCAACGCCGCGGGAGUGAUGAAGGUCUUCGGAUCGUAAAACUCUGUUAUUAGGGAAGAACAAAUGUGUAAGUAACUAUGCACGUCUUGACGGUACCUAAUCAGAAAGCCACGGCUAACUACGUG